AUUCCAGCUCCAAUAGCGUAUAUUAAAGUUGUUGCAGUUAAAAAGCUCGUAGUUGGAUUUCUGGCAUGAUGCGCCUGGCCCGCUCCGAUUACGGAUGUGUGUGCUAGUGCGCGUCUGCCAUCCAUUUACAGAAUGUAUCUACCCUUCAUUGGGCCGGAUAUGUGAUGUAAAUCUUUUACUUUGAAAAAAUUAGAGUGUUUAAAGCAGGCAUUUGCUAUGAAUACAUUAGCAUGGAAUAAUAAUCUAGGACUUCGGUUUUAUUUUGUUGGUUUCUAAAUCUGGAGUAAUGAUUGAUAGGGAUAGUUGGGGGUGCUAGUAUUUAGGGGCCAGAGGUGAAAUUCUUGGAUUCUCUAAAGACUAACUUAUGCGAAAGCAUUCACCAAGGAUGUCUUCAUCG
This 397-nucleotide ribosomal RNA is filed under the name Mataza sp. RNAcentral describes it as "partial small subunit ribosomal RNA". It matches the Rfam family "Eukaryotic small subunit ribosomal RNA", at positions 582 to 975 of the family's 1831-position model. Lineage: Eukaryota; Cercozoa; Thecofilosea. The record is from RNAcentral.